CCUACGGGAGGCAGCAGUGAGGAAUAUUGGUCAAUGGCCGGAAGGCUGAACCAGCCAUGCCGCGUGAAGGUCAGUGCCCUAUGGGCGUUAAACUUCUUUUGUGCGUGAGCAAUAAUGGUCACGUGUGGCCAGACGAGAGUACCGUACGAAUAAGCAUCGGCUAACUCCGUGCCAGCAGCCGCGGGAAUACGGGGGAUGCAAGCGUUAUCCGGAUUGAUUGGGUUUAAAGAGUGCGUAGGCUGUGAGGUAAGUCAGCGGUGCAAUGCCCACGCUCAACGGGGUGAAGUGCCAUUGAUACUGCAUUGCUGGAAUGCGGAUGCCGUGGGAGGAAUGUGUGGUGUAGCGGUGAAAUGCAUAGAUAUCACACAGAACACCGAUUGCGAAGGCAUCUCACGAAUCCGCGAUUGACGCUGAUGCACGAAAGCGUGGGUAUCAAACAGGAUUAGAUACCCUUGUAGUC
Molecule: ribosomal RNA, 460 nt
Filed under: uncultured bacterium
Lineage: Bacteria
Description: partial 16S ribosomal RNA
Rfam family: Bacterial small subunit ribosomal RNA
Source: RNAcentral